GAUGAAGAACGCAGCGAAAUGCGAUAAGUAAUGUGAAUUGCAGAAUUCAGUGAAUCAUCGAAUCUUUGAACGCACAUUGCGCCCCUUGGUAUUCCGAGGGGCAUGCUUGUUCGAGCGUCAUUAUAACCCUCAAGCUCAGCUUGGUGUUGGGGCCUGCUGCACUGGCAGCCCUUAAAAUCAGUGGCGGCGCCAUCUGGCUCUAAGCGUAGUAAUUCUUCUCGCUAUGGAGUCCUGGUGGAUGCUUGCCAUCAACCCCCAAUUUUUCUAUGGUUGACCUCGGAUCAGGUAGGGAUACCCGCUGAACUUAAGCAUAUCAAUAAGCGGAGGA
This 328-nucleotide unclassified non-coding RNA is filed under the name soil metagenome. Its description in RNAcentral is "partial contains 5.8S ribosomal RNA, internal transcribed spacer 2, and large subunit ribosomal RNA". The stretch from base 1 to 120 matches the Rfam family "5.8S ribosomal RNA", at positions 35 to 154 of the family's 154-position model. The record is from RNAcentral.